GUGGGUGUAGCUCAGUGGUAGAGCCCCGGAUUGUGACUCCGGUGGUCGUGGGUUCAAGUCCCAUCAUCCACCCCA
Molecule: transfer RNA, 75 nt
Filed under: Halovibrio variabilis
Lineage: Bacteria; Pseudomonadati; Pseudomonadota; Gammaproteobacteria; Oceanospirillales; Halomonadaceae
Also listed under: 62 other names
Description: tRNA-His
Rfam family: tRNA
About the family: Transfer RNA (tRNA) molecules are approximately 80 nucleotides in length. Their secondary structure includes four short double-helical elements and three loops (D, anti-codon, and T loops).
Source: RNAcentral